GGAGGAUUGCUCUUAAUCUUGAUUUCACAGGACCACCGAUUUAAGAUUAAAGAAACAACGAAGUAGAACAAGCUCUCAAUAUAUAUCAUGUGAAAAAAAUAUCAUUACUAUUAUCACAUACUUCAAAGAAGUGGAAUUGUGUAAAGUGAUGUAUUCAGAAAGACAUCAGAGGGAAAUGAAGAUUUGAAUGAGAUCCUUGAUAAUCAGGGUGCUGGUUACCAACCAUCCCUCAAAAUAGAAAGAGGAAGCCACUUGCCCUGGAUGCUCUUCCUCCAAAGAGGUUCGUGAAGCUCUCUGAGGAAAAGGGAGUUGAUAUGGAUAAGAAUAAAGAAAAAUAAUUUACAUGUAAGGUUUUUUUU
RNAcentral lists this long non-coding RNA (359 nucleotides) under Mus spicilegus (steppe mouse). RNAcentral's name for it is "lncRNA (ENSMSIG00000006296.1)". The record is from RNAcentral. Lineage: Eukaryota; Metazoa; Chordata; Mammalia; Rodentia; Muridae.